This 447-nucleotide ribosomal RNA is filed under the name Triticum aestivum (bread wheat). RNAcentral's name for it is "partial small subunit ribosomal RNA". The record is from RNAcentral. Lineage: Eukaryota; Viridiplantae; Streptophyta; Magnoliopsida; Poales; Poaceae.
UUGAGUCGACCUGAUGGGAUCAACAUCCCUGACGGCAAGUUCUACCUUGGAGAUGCUGGCUAUGCAUGUCGGCCGGGUAUUUUUCCACCCUUUAGGAAAACAAGGUACCAUCUCAAUGAGUUCUCUGGUAGGAACUAUCCUAGGACUGCACAGGAGCUGUUUAAUUUCAGACACUCCGGCCUUAGAGUAACUAUUGAGAGGGCAUUUGGAGAUCUGAAGAAUAGGUUUAAGAUCCUAGAUCAGAAGCCAUUCCACCCAUACUCCACUCAGGUUAAGCUAGUUCUUGCUUGUUGCAUUCUGCACAACUGGAUCCUUCAGUGGGGCUUUGAUGUGUUGGAUCUUGAUGCUCAAUAUGCUUCACCGCAAGUCAGUAUAAAACCAUUUCAUGGCCUCAAGCCAUUUUGCGGAAUCUGGGCUCAUCAUCGCAUCACCGGAACUGAUUUCUGU